GAAGGUACAGCUCAGUGGUAGAGUGUGUGCUUAGCAAGUAUGAGAUCCUGGGUUCAAUCCCCAGUACUUCCC
This 72-nucleotide transfer RNA is filed under the name Camelus dromedarius (Arabian camel). It matches the Rfam family "tRNA". From Rfam's summary of the family: Transfer RNA (tRNA) molecules are approximately 80 nucleotides in length. Their secondary structure includes four short double-helical elements and three loops (D, anti-codon, and T loops). Further hydrogen bonds mediate the characteristic L-shaped molecular structure. tRNAs have two regions of fundamental functional importance: the anti-codon, which is responsible for specific mRNA codon recognition, and the 3' end, to which the tRNAs corresponding amino acid is attached (by aminoacyl-tRNA synthetases). tRNAs cope with the degeneracy of the genetic code in two manners: having more than one tRNA (with a specific anti-codon) for a particular amino acid; and 'wobble' base-pairing, i.e. permitting non-standard base-pairing at the 3rd anti-codon position. The record is from Rfam by way of RNAcentral. Lineage: Eukaryota; Metazoa; Chordata; Mammalia; Artiodactyla; Camelidae. RNAcentral also lists the same sequence under 1 other name.